UACGUGGAUUUUAAUUUUAAUUUUUAAUUUUUUAGUUUCUUCCUUUAGAAUCCCAAACGUCUCUCCCUAUACGAAACACCCCUCUCUCUCUUCUCUCUCUUCUCAGUUCUCUCUCUCUUUGUUUUCUUCACCGACAAAUCUCUCUCUCCGGCGGUUUCUUCCUUUAGAAUCCCAAACGUGCCUCUCCCUCUACGAGACCCCCCUCUCUCUCUUCUCUCUCUUCUCAGUUCUCUCUCUCUUUGUUUUCUUCACCGGCAAAUCUCUCUCUCCGGCGGCCGGCAGUCCUUCUUUCGACGGAAUCGCUGCCGGAUUUCGCCGGAAAAUCUCUCUCUCUCUCUCUCUCUCUCUCCGGAAUCCAUCUCUCGCCAAAAAAUCUCUCUGGACGGAAUCUCUCUGCCAGAUCUGCCCGGAACUUGACGGACACGCUCUCUCUCACCGGAUCUUGAUGGAAACGCUCUCUCUCGACGGAUAUUGCCGAAGCUCGCCGAAAAUCUCUCUCUGGACGGAAUCUCUCUAUGCCAGAUCUCGCCGGAAACAGUUUCUCUCGCCGGAUCUAUCUCGCCGGAGCUACAAAUAGUGAAAUGAUGGUGAUAGAAGAGAAUAGCAAGCAUGAGAAUGGAAGUUGCUCAAGGUGGAGUACAAUUGGCGAUUGAAAAAGAAAAACAACCGGAUGAAAAAAAACUAUCAGAUUUAAGAGAGUUAAAUCUUAAGAGAUUUAAGAGAGUUAAAUCUUAAGAGAUUUAAGAGAGUUAAAUCUGUAGAAUUUUGAAGCAGUGGUGGCUGCCCGCAAAGCACAUGAUAGUACGCCUCAAGAUGUCGAGAUUUUAGAUUUUACUUCUUAAAAGUGAAAGUGUUCCAAAUGAGACUAAUUAUUUUUACACCACUUUGAUUCAAGUCUAUUGUCUUAGUAUGUAAAACUCAUGCAUGUAUAACCAAUAUAUAUAGAACCUACACCCUUGUGUUUUGGUAUAGAGUUAAA
Alnus glutinosa is the source of this 979-nucleotide long non-coding RNA. RefSeq lists it as uncharacterized. The transcript has 2 exons. Lineage: Eukaryota; Viridiplantae; Streptophyta; Magnoliopsida; Fagales; Betulaceae. The record is from RefSeq and is a predicted model, not a curated record.